Long non-coding RNA from Zingiber officinale, 1400 nucleotides. RefSeq lists it as uncharacterized. The transcript is spliced from 7 exons. The record is from RefSeq and is a predicted model, not a curated record. Lineage: Eukaryota; Viridiplantae; Streptophyta; Magnoliopsida; Zingiberales; Zingiberaceae.
UAUUUUCCUGAACCCCUCUCACAACUCCUCAUCUCAUGCCUAUCUUCCCGAACCCCUCUCACGCCCUCUCCUUCCAACUCCUCCUCUCAUGUCCUCUCCAUCCAACUCCUCUCCAGCAAACCCCUCUCCGGCGAACUCCUCUCCGCGAACCUCCUCUCCUCUGAAUUCCUUCACCUCUUCAUCAAAUAGCAAAUGCCCUAAUCACUCUGCUCUUGGAUCGCCGCCUCCGCACUAGAUCUACUCGCCGGUGGUUUCCUCUGCAGAAAUGGCAAAUGUUUGGAUUUCAAGAGCAUCAAAGUAUCGGAGUUCAGUUUGGAAGGUUAGCGACAAACGGCCAGGUUAUAAUGCCAGUGACUCAGAUUCUGAUGAGGAGAAGAUUAACAUCAAAUCAUCAGCAGAAGGACCUGGUUCAUAAGAAACAAGCUAGAUCAUCGCAGAAGUUAACUACCAAACUCUACAGUUCUUUGGAAGACCCCAACACAAAUAAUUUGGAGGAUGAUCUACCCGUAGAUAAUGCUUCAAAGCAAUUGGUGCUUCAUAUUGAGGCUUCUAGUACACAUUAGAUACAAGUGAGAAGUAGUAAAGGUUCCUCGACAACAAGAUGUCAAACAAUGUGGUUAUUAUGUGAUGCGAUUUAUGAGACAAAUUGUUGAAGAAGUUGAAAUUAUCGAGAGAGAUUCACUACGAUCUAUAUUUACAGAAGCGGAGUAUUCUCGAGAAGAAAUUGAUGAGGUGCGAUCGGAGUUGGUAGAAUGUAUACAAGAUCAUAUUUAUGAGUAGGUCAAACAAAAUAUGACUGACAGAACUCAUCAACUUCUAGAUGCUCGAUCAAAGGGCAGGUAAUAUCCAAGAGUCGGCUUUAAUAUCUUGUAGAAAAGACCAUGUUUACUGUUUCAAAAAUGGUUUUUUGCUACCUUCAUGUUGACAUGUUGAAUUUUUAAAUCCUUUCUUUGCACUCUAGAAUCAAAGCCAUAUUUUAUAUGUAUAGUUUAGUACAUCGGAAAACUACAUUUGCUACUGAAAAAUUUCAAGUCAAAUUGUGUUUGAUAAAGCUACAAGUUCUGCAAACCAAAGAAAUCAGAACAUAUGCUGAUUUCGACUUUAGUUCAUAUGUAAGAACUCAAAUGAAAUAUAUGCUGUUCUUUUUGCACUGCAUCUCUAAUUAUGUAUUCAGGUCUCAUAGUGGUUUCCCUAGCAUCUCCAAUUAUGCUAUUCUUUUUGCUAUAUUUCCAUGGCGGAAACAAAGUAGCACAUGUAUUUUUUGUUUGCUCUAUUCCCCGUUAUUUUAUGCUUAAUUCUUUUUCUCUUAAAAAUUAUUGUAUGGUGUGAACUGUGACCUUUAUUUUCAGCUACUAUCACCGAAAAUUUCUUUUGCAUAAUACUGAUGGUAUUGUUUUCUG